Molecule: ribosomal RNA, 406 nt
Filed under: uncultured bacterium
Lineage: Bacteria
Description: partial 16S ribosomal RNA
Rfam family: Bacterial small subunit ribosomal RNA
Source: RNAcentral
AUUGAACGCUGGCGGCAGGCCUAAUACAUGCAAGUCGAACGAGUGGCGGACGGGUGAGUAAUGUCUGGGAAACUGCCUGAUGGAGGGGGCUAACUACUGGAAACGGUAGCUAAUACCGCAUACCAUCAGAUGUGCCCAGAUUGGAUUAGCUUGUUGGUGGGGUAACGGCUCAUCAAGGAGACGAUCCCUAGCUGGUCUGAGAGGAUGACCAGCCACACUGGAGCUGAGACACGGUCCAGAGUCCUACGGGAGGCAGCAGUGGGGAAUAUUGCACAAUGGGGGCAAGCCUGAUGCAGCCAUGCCGCGUGUAUGAAGAAGGCCUUCGGGUUGUAAAGUACUUUCAACAGGGGAGCGUUACCCGCAGAAAAGGCACCGGCUAACUCCGUGCCAGCAGGCGCGAUAAUAC